RNAcentral lists this ribosomal RNA (1028 nucleotides) under Peribacillus asahii. RNAcentral's name for it is "bacterial SSU rRNA". It matches the Rfam family "Bacterial small subunit ribosomal RNA", at positions 42 to 1043 of the family's 1533-position model. The record is from RNAcentral. Lineage: Bacteria; Bacillati; Bacillota; Bacilli; Caryophanales; Bacillaceae.
GCGUAUAGAUAUCAUGCUGUCGAGCGAAUCAUGGGAGCUUGCUCCCUGAGAUUAGCGGCGGACGGGUGAGUAACACGUGGGUAACCUGCCUGUAAGACUGGGAUAACUUCGGGAAACCGGAGCUAAUACCGGAUAGUUUCUUUUCUCGCAUGAGAGAAGAUGGAAAGAUGGUUUCGGCUAUCACUUACAGAUGGACCCGCGGCGCAUUAGCUAGUUGGUGAGGUAACGGCUCACCAAGGCAACGAUGCGUAGCCGACCUGAGAGGGUGAUCGGCCACACUGGGACUGAGACACGGCCCAAACUCCUACGGGAGGCAGCAGUAGGGAAUCUUCCGCAAUGGACGAAAGUCUGACGGAGCAACGCCGCGUGAGCAAAAAAGGCCUUCGGGUCGUAAAGCUCUGUUGUUAGGGAAGAACAAGUACAAGAGUAACUGCUCGUACCUUGACGGUACCUAACCAGAAAGCCACGGCUAACUACGUGCCAGCAGCCGCGGUAAUACGUAGGUGGCAAGCGUUGUCCGGAAUUAUUGGGCGUAAAGCGCGCGCAGGCGGUCCUUUAAGUCUGAUGUGAAAGCCCACGGCUCACCCGUGGAGGGUCAUUGGAAACUGGGGGACUUGAGUGCAGAAGAGGAGAGUGGAAUUCCACGUGUAGCGGUGAAAUGCGUAGAGAUGUGGAGGAACACCAGUGGCGAAGGCGACUCUCUGGUCUGUAACUGACGCUGAGGCGCGAAAGCGUGGGGAGCAAACAGGAUUAGAUACCCUGGUAGUCCACGCCGUAAACGAUUGAGUGCUAAGUGUUAGAGGGUUUCCGCCCUUUAGUGCUGCAGCUAACGCAUUAAGCACUCCGCCUGGGGGAGUACGGCCGGCAAGGCUGAAACUCAAAGGAAUUUGACGGGGGCCCGCACAGCGGUGGGAGCAUUGUGGUUUAAUUCGAAGCAACGCCGAAGAACCCUUACCAAGUCUUGACAUCCUCUGCCAACCCUUAGAGAUAGGGCGUUCCCUCUUUCGGGGGACAGAGUGACAGUGGUG